This is an unclassified non-coding RNA of Callithrix jacchus (white-tufted-ear marmoset), 148 nucleotides long. It matches the Rfam family "Metazoan signal recognition particle RNA". Rfam says of the family: The signal recognition particle (SRP) is a universally conserved ribonucleoprotein. The record is from Ensembl. Lineage: Eukaryota; Metazoa; Chordata; Mammalia; Primates; Cebidae.
GCCAGGUGCAGUGGUGGGUGCCUGUAAUCCCAGCUACUAGGGAGGCUGAGGCAGGAGAAUUGCUUGAACCCAGGAGGUUGAGGUUGCAGUGAACCAAGAUCAUGCCACUGCACUCUAGCCUGGGCAACAGAGCAAGACUCUGUCUCAA